GACCAUUCAAAUAGAUUCACUCAUAUAAUAGCGGAAAUAGGGUCCGCGAGUUUCUACCGGUUUGCCGUAAACAAACUGACUAUGAGAAGCAACGAAGCAGAG
This 102-nucleotide non-coding RNA is filed under the name Planococcus sp. PAMC 21323. RNAcentral's name for it is "Purine riboswitch aptamer". It matches the Rfam family "Purine riboswitch aptamer". From Rfam's summary of the family: Riboswitches are metabolite binding domains within certain messenger RNAs that serve as precision sensors for their corresponding targets. Allosteric rearrangement of mRNA structure is mediated by ligand binding, and this results in modulation of gene expression. The record is from Rfam by way of RNAcentral. Lineage: Bacteria; Bacillati; Bacillota; Bacilli; Caryophanales; Caryophanaceae. RNAcentral also lists the same sequence under 1 other name.